GUAAAUUCACGUCCUCCAGUUGGUUUGUCCUGAGCUGUUCAAAAUGUCUUCUUUUGGCAGGUCUGUUGGCAGAAAUACAGAGACCACUAAAGAGAACAAAAACAGAAGCAGAUAGAAGAGGUGACAUCCUCACAGGCGAAGGAGCUGCCAGAAAAAGAGGCCAUUAUUAGAUCUUUGGAAGAGGAGAACAAGAGCUUAGCCAGCGAACUGGCCCGGCUUCUGAAGCAAAAAGAGGAGCUGGAGAAGAAACUAAAACUGGAUCCAGAAAGAGAUGCUGACAGAGAGGAGUUGCAGGUUGCAAUAUUAAAGAACAAGUGCGAAAAGUACCAGAAGGCAAACAGCCGACUCACCAUUAGCUCUCAAGAGAGAGGGAGAGAAAAAGAGACCUUAUGAGAGCUCUGGACCAGGCAAUUGACACCUUCUGCUCCCAUCUGCAGUCUACAGUAUACCCUACUCGGAGAGAAAAUUGUUG
This is a long non-coding RNA of Crotalus tigris (Tiger rattlesnake), 472 nucleotides long. RefSeq lists it as uncharacterized. NCBI's taxonomy places the organism in Eukaryota, Metazoa, Chordata, Lepidosauria, Squamata, Viperidae. The transcript has 5 exons. The record is from RefSeq and is a predicted model, not a curated record.